UACGGAGGAUGCGAGCGUUAUCCGGAUUUAUUGGGUUUAAAGGGUGCGCAGGCGGAUUUUUAAGUCAGCGGUAAAAAUUCGGGGCUCAACCCCGUCCGGCCGUUGAAACUGGGGGUCUUGAGUGGGCGAGAAGAAGGCGGAAUGCGUGGUGUAGCGGUGAAAUGCAUAGAUAUCACGCAGAACCCCGAUUGCGAAGGCAGCCUUCCGGCGCCCUACUGACGCUGAGGCACGAAAGUGCGGGGAUCGAACAGG
RNAcentral lists this ribosomal RNA (252 nucleotides) under uncultured bacterium. RNAcentral describes it as "partial 16S ribosomal RNA". It matches the Rfam family "Bacterial small subunit ribosomal RNA", at positions 524 to 776 of the family's 1533-position model. The record is from RNAcentral.